AGGAUAUAGCUCAGUGGUAGAGCACUUGCCUAUUAUGUGUGAAAAUCUGAGUUCAAUCCUCAGUACUACUA
Molecule: transfer RNA, 71 nt
Filed under: Ictidomys tridecemlineatus (thirteen-lined ground squirrel)
Lineage: Eukaryota; Metazoa; Chordata; Mammalia; Rodentia; Sciuridae
Description: Spermophilus tridecemlineatus (thirteen-lined ground squirrel) tRNA
Rfam family: tRNA
About the family: Transfer RNA (tRNA) molecules are approximately 80 nucleotides in length. Their secondary structure includes four short double-helical elements and three loops (D, anti-codon, and T loops).
Source: Rfam by way of RNAcentral